This 167-nucleotide small RNA is filed under the name Porphyromonas sp. COT-290 OH860. Its description in RNAcentral is "Bacteroidales-1 6S-Bacteroidales RNA suggested". It matches the Rfam family "Bacteroidales-1 6S-Bacteroidales RNA suggested". Lineage: Bacteria; Pseudomonadati; Bacteroidota; Bacteroidia; Bacteroidales; Porphyromonadaceae. The record is from Rfam by way of RNAcentral.
AGCCACGUUGUCGAUAGGUAGACUCAACGUUAAAAUCUUUUUCCGAGACAAGCUUCUCCUCCAAUGGCGUGUCGUAAUCCUCUUGAGGAUAUGCGAAUUACAAAGGUUGAGGAGCACUCAAAUCCUGUCAUUCGGAGUUUUCACUUUUAUCGCUCGUGGCUUUUUAU